AUUUCCAAAACUACCGAGACUUUUUCUUCCGGCUCUAUCACUUCCACUAAUUUCAG
Molecule: small RNA, 56 nt
Filed under: Caenorhabditis elegans
Lineage: Eukaryota; Metazoa; Nematoda; Chromadorea; Rhabditida; Rhabditidae
Description: Unclassified non-coding RNA T01H10.10
Source: RNAcentral